GUCUGGCUCAUGUGUGGGGGAAGGCUGAAACAGAGCCAAUUGGCUGCCUGUCAGUGCAUAAUCCAAACAUGGCCAAGGCCCCUUGACCAGCAAUAAACCAGCUCUGGGAAAACAGACCCUGGAGCCAAGGAUACAGCUCUUGCCUCAGUAAUGAUUAACCGGCAGCCAGGGGGCCCUGGAGGUCAGGGUGAUCAUGAGAAAGGCUCCCGUAAGCCUACCCCAAGUGCAGGGGGCCCUGAGGAAGCCAGCCUGGUGUCACUACUCGCCAGGGCUUCCCACCUCCAUGGAGGGCAUACUUCUCAACCACCCAGCAGUCCCUCGCCUCUGUCACGGGGACAGGAGCCCUGGCAUCACAGAGAGAGAGAAUGGGCCCUUGUAAAGUCCAAGGCUCUGGUCACCACUGACGGCUGCCUCGCUGACACCAGACAGAGGUAAAGCUGCGAUGGGAUUGCCAAAACGGGCCUCUGCCUUCUCGGUUUUGGUAAGUUGGCUUAAACCCCAUUACCGUCUCAAGUUGACACUGAUGAAAGCUUUGUAUUCAGUUGGGCUGAGAACAGGUAACUCGGGGGACAAAACCAGCAGGUUUUACUGGUCCCAACCCAGAGAGCCAGAAGAAGCCCAGAAAUGUACAGGACUGUGUGGCAGAGAACUUGUGCCCAAAGUUGCCAAACCUCUUACCUUUGCCUGGCACUUGAGACAACCAGCUGAUAUCUGUGCAGAUUCUGCCAGAAGGCUCUGGGCCACUUGCACUGGCCCCCUGCUUCCGGGUAGAAACUCCAGCCCCCUCAGCAACUGCCACUCCAGAGUUCCUCACAUUAGGGAAGGUCCCCCUCUGCGCCCUGAUCUUUGAGACUUCAGGUAAGACUUGAAUACUGCAGAAGCUGCGAAGAGGUGGUUGGGUGGCAGAGCCUUUCAAAUCUGUGUGUUUCUCUGAAUGUAGAGAUGCGUUUAUAGUAUGUAGGGGCUGUGUUUUCCCUCAGCCAGAUUUAUUCAUU
Molecule: long non-coding RNA, 995 nt
Filed under: Rattus norvegicus (Norway rat)
Lineage: Eukaryota; Metazoa; Chordata; Mammalia; Rodentia; Muridae
Description: long non-coding RNA NONRATT031847
Source: RNAcentral